UAUAUUUUAUGUGUAUGAUGCACAUGAGUUUUUGAUACUUUUAGAAAUGGUUUAAUUCCAUUAAAUAUAA
Molecule: transfer RNA, 70 nt
Filed under: Eupeodes corollae
Lineage: Eukaryota; Metazoa; Arthropoda; Insecta; Diptera; Syrphidae
Description: tRNA-Gln
Source: RNAcentral